GAUGAACGCUGGCGGCGUGCUUAACACAUGCAAGUCGAACGGAAAGGCUCCUGCUUGCAGGGGUACUCGAGUGGCGAACGGGUGAGUAACACGUGGGUGAUCUGCCCUGCACUUCGGGAUAAGCCUGGGAAACUGGGUCUAAUACCGGAUAGGACCAUCGUUUAGUGUCGGUGGUGGAAAGUUUUUUCGGUGUGGGAUGAGCUCGCGGCCUAUCAGCUUGUUGGUGGGGUAAUGGCCUACCAAGGCGUCGACGGGUAGCCGGCCUGAGAGGGUGUACGGCCACAUUGGGACUGAGAUACGGCCCAGACUCCUACGGGAGGCAGCAGUGGGGAAUAUUGCACAAUGGGAGCAAGCCUGAUGCAGCGACGCCGCGUGGGGGAUGACGGCCUUCGGGUCGUAAACUCCUUUCGCCAGGGACGAAGCGAAAGUGACGGUACCUGGAUAAGAAGCACCGGCUAACUACGUG
Molecule: ribosomal RNA, 466 nt
Filed under: uncultured bacterium
Lineage: Bacteria
Description: partial 16S ribosomal RNA
Rfam family: Bacterial small subunit ribosomal RNA
Source: RNAcentral